UACGGGGGGAGCAAGCGUUGUUCGGAAUCACUGGGCGUAAAGGGAGUCUAGGCGGUUUGGUAAGUGGGAUGUGAAAUGCCCGGGCUCACCCCGGGACCUGCAUCCCAAACUGCUGAGCUUGAGUACAGGAGAGGGUGGGGGAAUUCCUGGUGUAGCGGUGAAAUGCGUAGAGAUGUGGAGGAACACCGAUGGCGAAGGCAGCCCCCUGGGCUAACACUGACGCUCAGGCACGAAAGCGUGGGGAGCAAACAGG
RNAcentral lists this ribosomal RNA (253 nucleotides) under uncultured bacterium. Its description in RNAcentral is "partial 16S ribosomal RNA". It matches the Rfam family "Bacterial small subunit ribosomal RNA", at positions 524 to 776 of the family's 1533-position model. The record is from RNAcentral.